GACGAACGCUGGCGGCGCGCUUAACACAUGCGAGUCGAACGGAAAGGCCUGCUUUCCCUUGUGGAUUGCGGGUACUCGAGUGGCGAACGGGUGAGUAACACGUGAGUGAUCUGCCCCCAACUUGGGUAUAAGCCUGGGAAACUGGGUCUAAUUCCCGAUAGGACUGCAGGGUGGUGCCUGUGGUGGAAAACGAUUUUCUAGUGGUUGGGGAUGAGCUCGCGGCCUAUCAGCUUGUUGGUGGGGUAAUGGCCUACCAAGGCGGCGACGGGUAGCCGGCCUGGGAGGGUGGACGGCCACAUUGGGACUGAGAGACGGCCCAGACUCCUACGGGAGGCAGCAGUGGGGAAUAUUGCACAAUGGGCGGAAGCCUGAUGCAGCGACGCCGCGUGGGGGAUGACGGCCUUCGGGUUGUAAACUCCUUUCGACCGCGAGGAAGCCACCUGGUUGGAAGGGUGGUGACGGUAGUGGUAGAAGAAGCACCGGCUAACUACGUG
Molecule: ribosomal RNA, 494 nt
Filed under: uncultured bacterium
Lineage: Bacteria
Description: partial 16S ribosomal RNA
Rfam family: Bacterial small subunit ribosomal RNA
Source: RNAcentral